RNAcentral lists this ribosomal RNA (253 nucleotides) under uncultured bacterium. Its description in RNAcentral is "partial 16S ribosomal RNA". It matches the Rfam family "Bacterial small subunit ribosomal RNA", at positions 524 to 776 of the family's 1533-position model. The record is from RNAcentral.
UACGUAGGUGGCAAGCGUUGUCCGGAUUUACUGGGCGUAAAGAGCGCGCAGGCGGUCGUCCAAGUCGCGUGUGAAAGCCCCCGGCUCAACUGGGGAGGGUCACGCGAUACUGAUCGACUCGAAGGCAGGAGAGGGAAGCGGAAUUCCCGGUGUAGUGGUGAAAUGCGCAGAUAUCAGGAGGAACACCGGUGGCGAAGGCGGGUCUCUGGGCCACUACUGACGCUGAGGAGCGAAAGCGUGGGGAGCGAACAGG